Molecule: ribosomal RNA, 243 nt
Filed under: uncultured bacterium
Lineage: Bacteria
Description: partial 16S ribosomal RNA
Rfam family: Bacterial small subunit ribosomal RNA
Source: RNAcentral
CCGGCCGGCGCACGGUGAGUAACGCGUAUGCAACUUACCUAUCAGAGGGGGAUAACCCGGCGAAAGUCGGACUAAUACCGCAUGAAGCAGGGGCCCCCCAUGGGGAUAUUUGCUAAAGAUUCAUCGCUGAUAGAUAGGCAUGCGUUCCAUUAGGCAGUUGGCGGGGUAACGGCCCACCAAACCGACGAUGGAUAGGGGUUCUGAGAGGAAGGUCCCCCACAUUGGUACUGAGACACGGACCAA